This 440-nucleotide unclassified non-coding RNA is filed under the name Hevea brasiliensis (rubber tree). Lineage: Eukaryota; Viridiplantae; Streptophyta; Magnoliopsida; Malpighiales; Euphorbiaceae. The record is from RNAcentral.
GAAGGAAGCUUUGUGAAAUUAUUCGAGGAUGCCAUUAUUAAAGAGACAAGAACAUGAAGAAAUCUGAUGCCACAAUGCUAAUUAUUAAAGUCUACACUGCAUUUGCAUAAAGCCCAGCCCAAAGUUGAAAGGAACAGUCCUAAGCUGAGAGAAAAAGAUAAUAAUAAAAAUGUCCAAAUAGAAAAUAAAUUAUUGUGGCCUUUUUUUAAAUCUUAUUCUGCACUUUUGAUUUUAAAAAUUAAAUGAUUUAAUUUUUUUUGAAUUUAUAUAAUUUUAUGAUGAUCAUAUAUUCCUAUCAAAUUAAGUACCAAAAAACUUAUAAAAGAAAAUACUUAAAAAAAUAAAUUUGUCAAGAAAAAGAAAAUUUUCGUUAUACUAUUUCUCGGUUUUCUUGAGGCAUACAGAGUGGAAUAAAGAAAAUAAAUAAAUAAAAUCCCAAU